AACGAACGCUGGCGGCAGGCUUAACACAUGCAAGUCGAACGCACCUUUCGGGGUGAGUGGCAGACGGGUGAGUAACGCGUGGGAAUCUACCCUUCUCUACGGGAUAGCUCCGGGAAACUGGAAUUAAUACCGUAUACGUCCUGAGGGAGAAAGAUUUAUCGGGGAAGGAUGAGCCCGCGUUGGAUUAGCUAGUUGGUGGGGUAAAGGCCUACCAAGGCGACGAUCCAUAGCUGGUCUAAGAGGAUGAUCAGCCACAUUGGGACUGAGACACGGCCCAAACUCCGGCGGGAGGCGGCAGGGGGGAAUAUGCGACAAAGGGCGGAAGCCGGAUGCAGAAAUACGGCGUGGGUUAAGAAGGCGUUCGGGUGGGAAAGAAAUUUGGUGGGGAAAGAAAAGCAGCCGCGUAAUACCCCGCGGUACGGACGGUAGAAAAAGAAUAAGCGCCGGCUAACUUCGUG
RNAcentral lists this ribosomal RNA (458 nucleotides) under uncultured bacterium. RNAcentral describes it as "partial 16S ribosomal RNA". It matches the Rfam family "Bacterial small subunit ribosomal RNA", at positions 29 to 507 of the family's 1533-position model. The record is from RNAcentral.